This 647-nucleotide ribosomal RNA is filed under the name uncultured bacterium. RNAcentral's name for it is "bacterial SSU rRNA". It matches the Rfam family "Bacterial small subunit ribosomal RNA", at positions 48 to 680 of the family's 1533-position model. The record is from RNAcentral.
GCUAUACAUGCAAGUAGAACGCUGAAGGAGGAGCUUGCUUCUCUGGAUGAGUUGCGAACGGGUGAGUAACGCGUAGGUAACCUGCCUGGUAGCGGGGGAUAACUAUUGGAAACGAUAGCUAAUACCGCAUAAGAGUAGAUGUUGCAUGACAUUUACUUAAAAGGUGCAAUUGCAUCACUACCAGAUGGACCUGCGUUGUAUUAGCUAGUUGGUGGGGUAACGGCUCACCAAGGCGACGAUACAUAGCCGACCUGAGAGGGUGAUCGGCCACACUGGGACUGAGACACGGCCCAGACUCCUACGGGAGGCAGCAGUAGGGAAUCUUCGGCAAUGGACGGAAGUCUGACCGAGCAACGCCGCGUGAGUGAAGAAGGUUUUCGGAUCGUAAAGCUCUGUUGUAAGAGAAGAACGAGUGUGAGAGUGGAAAGUUCACACUGUGACGGUAUCUUACCAGAAAGGGACGGCUAACUACGUGCCAGCAGCCGCGGUAAUACGUAGGUCCCGAGCGUUGUCCGGAUUUAUUGGGCGUAAAGCGAGCGCAGGCGGUUAGAUAAGUCUGAAGUUAAAGGCUGUGGCUUAACCAUAGUACGCUUUGGAAACUGUUUAACUUGAGUGCAAGAGGGGAGAGUGGAAUUCCAUGUGUAGCG